CAGCAGCCACGGUAACACGUAGGUGGCAAGCGUUGUCCGGAAUUAUUGGGCGUAAAGGGCUCGCAGGCGGUUUCUUAAGUCUGAUGUGAAAGCCCCCGGCUCAACCGGGGAGGGUCAUUGGAAACUGGGAAACUUGAGUGCAGAAGAGGAGAGUGGAAUUCCACGUGUAGCGGUGAAAUGCGUAGAGAUGUGGAGGAACACCAGUGGCGAAGGCGACUCUCUGGUCUGUAACUGACGCUGAGGAGCGAAAGCGUGGGGAGCGAACAGGAUUAGAUACCCCGGUAGUCCCUGUCUCUUAUAA
Molecule: ribosomal RNA, 301 nt
Filed under: uncultured bacterium
Lineage: Bacteria
Description: partial 16S ribosomal RNA
Rfam family: Bacterial small subunit ribosomal RNA
Source: RNAcentral